RNAcentral lists this non-coding RNA (29 nucleotides) under Sclerotinia sclerotiorum. RNAcentral also lists the same sequence under 11 other names. The record is from RNAcentral. Lineage: Eukaryota; Fungi; Ascomycota; Leotiomycetes; Helotiales; Sclerotiniaceae.
UGACCUCGGAUCAGGUAGGGAUACCCGCU